UGAAAUUAUUCAACGGCCGCGGUAUCCUAACCGUGCGAAGGUAGCGUAAUCACUUGUUCUUUAAAUGAGGACUAGUAUGAAUGGCACCACGAGGGUUCUACUGUCUCCUUUUUUUAAUCAGUGAAACUAAUCUCCCCGUGAAGAAGCGGGGAUCUUUAUAUAAGACGAGAAGACCCUAUGGAGCUUUAAACAACCAACAUUUGCUACACCAUAACAUUUUCCCCUAAAAGAAGUAUAGCAUUAUGAUUAUUAGUUUUUGAUUGGGGUGAUCACGGAGUAAAAUAUAACCUCCAUGCCGAAAGGGUUCUUACCCUGAGCAAAAAGCCACAGCUUUAAGCACUAAAAAAUUAACGCAGUUUGACCCAAUAUUUUGAUCAACGAACCAAGUUAC
RNAcentral lists this ribosomal RNA (391 nucleotides) under Boana boans group sp. ABGD cluster 15. Its description in RNAcentral is "partial large subunit ribosomal RNA". It matches the Rfam family "Bacterial large subunit ribosomal RNA", at positions 1913 to 2397 of the family's 2925-position model. The record is from RNAcentral. Lineage: Eukaryota; Metazoa; Chordata; Amphibia; Anura; Hylidae.